RNAcentral lists this ribosomal RNA (450 nucleotides) under uncultured bacterium. RNAcentral describes it as "partial 16S ribosomal RNA". It matches the Rfam family "Bacterial small subunit ribosomal RNA", at positions 354 to 796 of the family's 1533-position model. The record is from RNAcentral.
GUGGGGAAUUUUGGACAAUGGGCGAAAGCCUGAUCCAGCAAUGCCGCGUGCAGGAUGAAGGCCCUCGGGUUGUAAACUGCUUUUGUACGGAACGAAAAGCCUGGGGCUAAUAUCCCCGGGUCAUGACGGUACCGUAAGAAUAAGCACCGGCUAACUACGUGCCAGCAGCCGCGGUAAUACGUAGGGUGCAAGCGUUAAUCGGAAUUACUGGGCGUAAAGCGUGCGCAGGCGGUGAUGUAAGACAGAUGUGAAAUCCCCGGGCUCAACCUGGGAACUGCAUUUGUGACUGCAUCGCUGGAGUGCGGCAGAGGGGGAUGGAAUUCCGCGUGUAGCAGUGAAAUGCGUAGAUAUGCGGAGGAACACCGAUGGCGAAGGCAAUCCCCUGGGCCUGCACUGACGCUCAUGCACGAAAGCGUGGGGAGCAAACAGGAUUAGAAACCCGAGUAGUCC